AUUGAACGCUGGCGGAAUGCUUUACACAUGCAAGUCGAACGGCAGCACGGGAGCUUGCUCCUGGUGGCGAGUGGCGAACGGGUGAGUAAUGCGUCGGAACGUACCGAGUAAUGGGGGAUAACGCACCGAAAGGUGUGCUAAUACCGCAUACGCCCUGAGGGGGAAAGUGGGGGAUCGCAAGACCUCACGUUAUUCGAGCGGCCGACGUCUGAUUAGCUUGUUGGUGAGGUAAUGGCUCACCAAGGCGACGAUCAGUAACGGGUCUGAGAGGAUGAUCCGCCACACUGGAACUGAGACACGGUCCAGACUCCUACGGGAGGCAGCAGUGGGGAAUUUUGGACAAUGGGGGAAACCCUGAUCCAGCCAUUCCGCGUGAGUGAAGAAGGCCUUCGGGUUGUAAAGCUCUUUCAGCUGGAACGAAACGGUACG
This 429-nucleotide ribosomal RNA is filed under the name uncultured bacterium. RNAcentral describes it as "bacterial SSU rRNA". It matches the Rfam family "Bacterial small subunit ribosomal RNA", at positions 30 to 457 of the family's 1533-position model. The record is from RNAcentral.